The submitters of this non-coding RNA (61 nucleotides) gave its source as unclassified sequences. The record is from Rfam.
CGUUAGGAGGUUACCUCUGUCGUUACCCACCUUGUUGUGGAUACGGGAAUGUAGCUGUUAA